UCUUUCAGCAUAGUUUAGUUUUUGUAUUUUUUAAUAAUAGUUUCUUAGUAGUUAUUAUUUUAAUUAGUUUUUAUUAAUAUAAAAUGAGUGUGAAAGGUGGCUGUUAUUGUAUGGUACGUGGUUGUAAUACCAGUACUGUUGGCACGAAGAUAAGUAUGUUUUGCAUACCAAAAGAUCUAGAAAGAUCAAAGCAGUCUAUUCGACUAUACUACACAAAAGAGGAGUGGGUAGUCAAUUUUUACAAAAUUUAAAAACAAUAGAGCACCAUUUUGAUUGUUCAAAUUUUCCUACAAAGUUUUUAUUAAGCUUGUUUAUUAGAUUAAGAUUAUUUUAUACCUUAAAGUAUCACAAUCGGAAUAUGAAAAAAACACCUGUAAAUGGACCAAGUGCAAAAUUUAAAAUUGUUAAUAAUUUAUAAAAUAAAUAUUUUUAAAUGA
Long non-coding RNA from Onthophagus taurus, 437 nucleotides. RefSeq lists it as uncharacterized. The record is from RefSeq and is a predicted model, not a curated record. NCBI's taxonomy places the organism in Eukaryota, Metazoa, Arthropoda, Insecta, Coleoptera, Scarabaeidae.